UUNGUCGCGUCGUUUGUGAAAACCAGCAGCUCAACUGCUGGCUUGCAGGCGAUACGGGCAGACUUGAGUACUGCAGGGGAGACUGGAAUUCCUGGUGUAGCGGUGAAAUGCGCAGAUAUCAGGAGGAACACCGGUGGCGAAGGCGGGUCUCUGGGCAGUAACUGACGCUGAGGAACGAAAGCGUGGGUAGCGAACAGGAUUAGAUACCCUGGUAGUCCACGCCGUAAACGGUGGGCGCUAGGUGUGGGUUCCUUCCACGGAAUCCGUGCCGUAGCUAACGCAUUAAGCGCCCCGCCUGGGGAGUACGGCCGCAAGGCUAAAACUCAAAGGAAUUGACGGGGGCCCGCACAAGCGGCGGAGCAUGUGGAUUAAUUCGAUGCAACGCGAAGAACCUUACCUGGGUUUGACAUAUACCGGAAAGCUGCAGAGAUGUGGCCCCCCUUGUGGUCGGUAUACAGGUGGUGCAUGGCUGUCGUCAGCUCGUGUCGCGAGAUGUUGGGUUAAGUCCCGCAACGAGCGCAACCCCUAUCUUAUGUUGCCAGCACGUUAUGGUGGGGACUCGUAAGAGACUGCCGGGGUCAACUCGGAGGAAGGUGGGGACGACGUCAAGUCAUCAUGCCCCUUAUGUCCAGGGCUUCACACAUGCUACAAUGGCCAGUACAGAGGGCUGCGAGACCGUGAGGUGGAGCGAAUCCCUUAAAGCUGGUCUCAGUUCGGAUCGGGGUCUGCAACUCGACCCCGUGAAGUCGGAGUCGCUAGUAAUCGCAGAUCAGCAACGCUGCGGUGAAUACGUU
RNAcentral lists this ribosomal RNA (794 nucleotides) under uncultured bacterium. RNAcentral describes it as "bacterial SSU rRNA". It matches the Rfam family "Bacterial small subunit ribosomal RNA", at positions 579 to 1372 of the family's 1533-position model. The record is from RNAcentral.